AGUGAGCGCUGGCGGUAGGCCUAACACAUGCAAGUCGAACGGCAGCACAGUAAGAGCUUGCUCUUACGGGUGGCGAGUGGCGGACGGGUGAGGAAUACAUCGGAAUCUACUUUUUCGUGGGGGAUAACGUAGGGAAACUUACGCUAAUACCGCAUACGACCUACGGGUGAAAGCAGGGGAUCUUCGGACCUUGCGCGAUUGAAUGAGCCGAUGUCGGAUUAGCUAGUUGGCGGGGUAAAGGCCCACCAAGGCGACGAUCCGUAGCUGGUCUGAGAGGAUGAUCAGCCACACUGGAACUGAGACACGGUCCAGACUCCUACGGGAGGCAGCAGUGGGGAAUAUUGGACAAUGGGCACAAGCCUGAUCCAGCCAUACCGCGUGGGUGAAGAAGGCCUUCGGGUUGUAAAGCCCUUUUGUUGGGAAAGAAAAGCAGCAGGUUAAUACCCCGCUGUUCUGACGGUACCCAAAGAAUAAGCACCGGCUAACUUCGUG
This 492-nucleotide ribosomal RNA is filed under the name uncultured bacterium. RNAcentral describes it as "partial 16S ribosomal RNA". It matches the Rfam family "Bacterial small subunit ribosomal RNA", at positions 29 to 507 of the family's 1533-position model. The record is from RNAcentral.